Molecule: transfer RNA, 70 nt
Filed under: Layahima valida
Lineage: Eukaryota; Metazoa; Arthropoda; Insecta; Neuroptera; Myrmeleontidae
Description: tRNA-Phe
Rfam family: tRNA
About the family: Transfer RNA (tRNA) molecules are approximately 80 nucleotides in length. Their secondary structure includes four short double-helical elements and three loops (D, anti-codon, and T loops). Further hydrogen bonds mediate the characteristic L-shaped molecular structure. tRNAs have two regions of fundamental functional importance: the anti-codon, which is responsible for specific mRNA codon recognition, and the 3' end, to which the tRNAs corresponding amino acid is attached (by aminoacyl-tRNA synthetases). tRNAs cope with the degeneracy of the genetic code in two manners: having more than one tRNA (with a specific anti-codon) for a particular amino acid; and 'wobble' base-pairing, i.e. permitting non-standard base-pairing at the 3rd anti-codon position.
Source: RNAcentral
AUUUUAAUAGCUUAAAAUUAGAGCGUGACACUGAAGAUGUUAAGGUAAUAAAUUUAUUUAUUUUAAAAUA